GCAAGUCGAACGAUCGAUGCCCAGCUUGCUGGGUGGAUUAGUGGCGAACGGGUGAGUAACACGUGAGUAACCUGCCCCUGACUCUGGGAUAAGCGUUGGAAACGACGUCUAAUACUGGAUAUGAUCACUGGCCGCAUGGUCUGGUGGUGGAAAGAUUUUUUGGUUGGGGAUGGACUCGCGGCCUAUCAGCUUGUUGGUGAGGUAAUGGCUCACCAAGGCGACGACCGGUAGCCGGCCUGAGAGGGUGACCGGCCACACUGGGACUGAGACACGGCCCAUACUCCUACGGGAGGCAGCAGUGGGGAAUAUUGCACAAUGGGCGAAAGCCUGAUGCAGCAACGCCGCGUGAGGGAUGACGGCCUUCGGGUUGUAAACCUCUUUUAGUAGGGAAGAAGCGAAAGUGACGGUACCUGCAGAAAAAGCACCGGCUAACUACGUGCCAGCAGCCGCGGUAAUACGUAGGGUGCAAGCGUUGUCCGGAAUUAUUGGGCGUAAAGAGCUCGUAGGCGGUUUGUCGCGUCUGCUGUGAAAUCCCGAGGCUCAACCUCGGGCUUGCAGUGGGUACGGGCAGACUAGAGUGCGGUAGGGGAGAUUGGAAUUCCUGGUGUAGCGGUGGAAUGCGCAGAUAUCAGGAGGAACACCGAUGGCGAAGGCAGAUCUCUGGGCCGUAACUGACGCUGAGGAGCGAAAGCAUGGGGAGCGAACAGGAUUAGAUACCCUGGUAGUCCAUGCCGUAAACGUUGGGCGCUAGAUGUAGGGACCUUUCCACGGUUUCUGUGUCGUAGCUAACGCAUUA
RNAcentral lists this ribosomal RNA (796 nucleotides) under Curtobacterium sp. RNAcentral describes it as "bacterial SSU rRNA". It matches the Rfam family "Bacterial small subunit ribosomal RNA", at positions 57 to 862 of the family's 1533-position model. Lineage: Bacteria; Bacillati; Actinomycetota; Actinomycetes; Micrococcales; Microbacteriaceae. The record is from RNAcentral.